GAUGAACGCUGGCGGCGUGCCUAAUACAUGCAAGUCGAGCGAACAGACGAGGAGCUUGCCCCUCUGACGUUAGCGGCGGACGGGUGAGUAACAAGUGGAUAACCUACCUAUAAGACUGGGAUAACUUCGGGAAACAUGAGCUAAAACCGGAUAAUAUAUUGAACCGCAUGGUUCAAUAGUGAAAGACGGUUUUGCUGUCACUUAUAGAUGGAUCCGCGCCGCAUUAGCUAGUUGGUAAGGUAACGGCUUACCAAGGCGACGAUGCGUAGCCGACCUGAGAGGGUGAUCGGCCACACUGGAGCUGGAACACGGUCCAGACUCCUACGGGAGGCAGCAGUAGGGAAUCUUCCGCAAUAGGCGGAAGCCUGGCGGAGCAACGCCGCGUGAGUGAUGAAGGUCUUCGGAUCGUAAAACUCUGUUAUUAGGGAAGAACAAAUGUGUAAGUAACUAUGCACGUCUUGACGGUACCUAAUCAGAAAGCCACGGCUAACUACGUG
RNAcentral lists this ribosomal RNA (497 nucleotides) under uncultured bacterium. RNAcentral describes it as "partial 16S ribosomal RNA". It matches the Rfam family "Bacterial small subunit ribosomal RNA", at positions 28 to 507 of the family's 1533-position model. The record is from RNAcentral.